Molecule: ribosomal RNA, 484 nt
Filed under: uncultured bacterium
Lineage: Bacteria
Description: SSU rRNA
Rfam family: Bacterial small subunit ribosomal RNA
Source: RNAcentral
AGGACGAACGCUGGCGGCGUGCCUAACACAUGCAAGUCGAACGCGCUCCAUUCGGUAGCAAUACUGAUGAAGAGCGAGUGGCGAACGGGUGAGUAGCACGUGAGCAACCUGCCCCGAAGACUGGGACAACACCGGGAAACCGGUGCUAAUACCGGAUAUCCCUAUCGGACCGCAUGAUCUGAUAAGGAAAUGGAUUCCGCUUCGGGAGGGGCUCGCGGCCUAUCAGCUAGUUGGUGAGGUAACGGCCCACCAAGGCAUCGACGGGUAGCUGGUCUGAGAGGACGAUCAGCCACACUGGGACUGAGACACGGCCCAGACUCCUACGGGAGGCAGCAGUGGGGAAUCUUGCGCAAUGGGCGAAAGCCUGACGCAGCAACGCCGCGUGGAGGACGAAGGCUUUCUGAGUUGUAAACUCCUUUCAGCAGGACGAUAGUGACGGUACCUGCAGAAGAAGCACCGGCCAACUACGUGCCAGCGAGCCGUA